RNAcentral lists this ribosomal RNA (253 nucleotides) under uncultured bacterium. RNAcentral describes it as "partial 16S ribosomal RNA". It matches the Rfam family "Bacterial small subunit ribosomal RNA", at positions 524 to 776 of the family's 1533-position model. The record is from RNAcentral.
GACGGAGGAUGCAAGUGUUAUCCGGAAUCACUGGGCGUAAAGCGUCUGUAGGUGGUUUAAAAAGUCCACUGUUAAAAAUUGAAGCUUAACUUCAAAGAUGCCGUGGAAACUUUUAAACUUGAGUAUGAUAGGGGUAGAGGGAAUUUCCAGUGGAGCGGUGAAAUGCGUAGAUAUUGGAAAGACCACCAAUGGCGAAGGCACUCUACUGGGCCAUUACUGACACUGAGAGACGAAAGCUAGGGGAGCAAAUGGG